UAGGGAAUCUUCGGCAAUGGACGAAAGUCUGACCGAGCAACGCCGCGUGAGUGAAGAAGGUUUUCGGAUCGUAAAACUCUGUUGCCAGGGAAGAAUGAGAUGGAGAGUAACUGCUCUGUCUGUGACGGUACCUGAGAAGAAAGCCCCGGCUAACUACGUGCCAGCAGCCGCGGUAAUACGUAGGGGGCAAGCGUUGUCCGGAAUUAUUGGGCGUAAAGCGCGCGCAGGCGGCUGAUUAAGUCUGGUGUAUAAUCCUGAGGCUCAACCUUAGGUCGCACUGGAAACUGGUCAGCUAGAGUGUAGGAGAGGAAAGUGGAAUUCCACGUGUAGCGGUGAAAUGCGUAGAGAUGUGGAGGAACACCAGUGGCGAAGGCGACUUUCUGGCCUAUAACUGACGCUGAGGCGCGAAAGCGUGGGGAGCAAACAGGAUUAGAUACCCCCGUAGUCC
RNAcentral lists this ribosomal RNA (448 nucleotides) under uncultured bacterium. RNAcentral's name for it is "bacterial SSU rRNA". It matches the Rfam family "Bacterial small subunit ribosomal RNA", at positions 355 to 796 of the family's 1533-position model. The record is from RNAcentral.